UACGGAGGGUGCAAGCGUUAUCCGGAUUCAUUGGGUUUAAAGGGUGCGUAGGUGGGUAGGUAAGUCAGUGGUGAAAUCCCCGAGCUUAACUUGGGAACUGCCGUUGAUACUAUCUAUCUUGAAUAUCGCGUAGGUAAGCGGAAUAUGUCAUGUAGCGGUGAAAUGCUUAGAUAUGACAUAGAACACCAAUUGCGAAGGCAGCUUACUUCAAGAUUAUUGACACUGAGGCACGAAAGCGUGGGGAUCAAACAGG
RNAcentral lists this ribosomal RNA (253 nucleotides) under uncultured bacterium. RNAcentral's name for it is "partial 16S ribosomal RNA". It matches the Rfam family "Bacterial small subunit ribosomal RNA", at positions 524 to 776 of the family's 1533-position model. The record is from RNAcentral.